GUGAGGAAUAUUGGACAAUGGGCGCAAGCCUGAUCCAGCCAUGCCGCGUGCAGGAAGACGCAUCUAUGGUGUGUAAACUGCUUUUGUACGGGAAGAAACACUCCCUCGUGAGGGAGCUUGACGGUACCGUAAGAAUAAGGAUCGGCUAACUCCGUGCCAGCAGCCGCGGUAAUACGGAGGAUCCAAGCGUUAUCCGGAAUCAUUGGGGUUAAAGGGUCCGUAGGCGGUUUAAUAAGUCAGUGGUGAAAGCCCAUCGCUCAACGAUGGAACGGCCAUUGAUACUGUUAGACUUGAAUUACAAGGAAGUAACUAGAAUAUGUAGUGUAGCGGUGAAAUGCUUAGAUAUUACAUGGAAUACCAAUUGCGAAGGCAGGUUACUACUUGUGGAUUGACGCUGAUGGACGAAAGCGUGGGGAGCGAACAGGAUUAGAAACCCGUGUAGUCC
This 445-nucleotide ribosomal RNA is filed under the name uncultured bacterium. RNAcentral's name for it is "partial 16S ribosomal RNA". It matches the Rfam family "Bacterial small subunit ribosomal RNA", at positions 354 to 796 of the family's 1533-position model. The record is from RNAcentral.